GUAGGUAUAGCUCAGUGGUAGAGCGCAUGCCUAGCAAGCACCAGGUCCUAGGUUCAAUUCCCAGUCCCUCUA
This 72-nucleotide transfer RNA is filed under the name Camelus bactrianus (Bactrian camel). It matches the Rfam family "tRNA". From Rfam's summary of the family: Transfer RNA (tRNA) molecules are approximately 80 nucleotides in length. Their secondary structure includes four short double-helical elements and three loops (D, anti-codon, and T loops). Further hydrogen bonds mediate the characteristic L-shaped molecular structure. tRNAs have two regions of fundamental functional importance: the anti-codon, which is responsible for specific mRNA codon recognition, and the 3' end, to which the tRNAs corresponding amino acid is attached (by aminoacyl-tRNA synthetases). tRNAs cope with the degeneracy of the genetic code in two manners: having more than one tRNA (with a specific anti-codon) for a particular amino acid; and 'wobble' base-pairing, i.e. permitting non-standard base-pairing at the 3rd anti-codon position. RNAcentral also lists the same sequence under 1 other name. Lineage: Eukaryota; Metazoa; Chordata; Mammalia; Artiodactyla; Camelidae. The record is from Rfam by way of RNAcentral.